This 3087-nucleotide ribosomal RNA is filed under the name Triticum aestivum (bread wheat). Its description in RNAcentral is "partial small subunit ribosomal RNA". Lineage: Eukaryota; Viridiplantae; Streptophyta; Magnoliopsida; Poales; Poaceae. The record is from RNAcentral.
AUGGCGCCGCCGCCACGCCGCCUCCUCCUCGUCCUCCUCGGGUUCCUUGCCGCUGCCUCUCUAGCUACCCUCGCCGCGGCUGUCUACGAAGACCAAGUCGGCCUCGCUGACUGGCAUCAGAAGUACAUAGGCAAAGUUAAGCAGGCAGUUUACCACACUCAGAAGAGUGGGAGGAGGCGUGUCGUGGUCUUGACAGAGGAAAAUGUGAUCGCCUCUCUUGAUCUUCGUUCAGGAGAUAUAUUUUGGCGCCAUGUCAUUGAGAAGAACAACCCCAUCGACCAGCUUAGUCUUUCAGCUGGAAAAUAUGUUGUUACUCUUUCUUCGGGAGGUAGUAUAUUGAGGGCAUGGAAUCUUCCUGAUGGACAAAUGAUCUGGGAAACCAAUAUUCAUACUUCCACAUCAUCAAAGUCGUUGCUGCAUGUUUUGUCAAACAGUAAAGUGGUAAAGGAUAAUUUGGUUUUAGUUUUGGCUGGACAAUGGAUUUAUGCUGUAUCAAGCAUUGAUGGAGUCAUUUCUUGGGGAAAGGAGUUCACACAUGACGGCCUAGAAAUCAAGCAGGUUGUUCAAUCACCUGAUAAUGAUAUUGUCUAUGUUGUUGGGAUUGCUGGUUCCUCAAAGCUUGCUGUUUAUCAGUUGAAUGCUAAAACUGGAGAGAUAGUAAAGGAUGCCCAAGAGUCAUUGCCUGAUGGAUUAUGUGGUGAAAUAUUACUUGGUUCCAGUAAUGUGUUGGUAGCACUGGAUGAGACUAGGUCAGCUCUGUUUAUUGUUGAUUUCAAGGGUGAGAGCAUCAGCUACAACAAGGUGCAGAUUUCAGAGUUUGUUCAAGACUUUUCUGGGACGGUCAAACUUCUACCACUGAUAUCUAAUGGUAUCAUAGCUUUGCAAUCGUCUUCUACUGUUUCUCUCCUGAAGCUUAAAGGUAUGGAUGGGUUGGAAGUAAUCCAUAGCUUUGACCAACCAGCCUCUGUGAGUGAUGCUCUGACAAUAACAGAAAAAGAUGAGGCCUUUGCUGUUGUGCAACAUGUGGGUUCUCAAAUUGAAUUUAUUGUCAAAGUUACAAGUGAUUUAACCAAUGAGAUUAUUAGGGAGAAAGUUGAUAUAGAUCAGCAUAGAGGCAGUGUACAGAAGGUCUUCUUGAAUAAUUAUGUUCGCACUGAUAAAUCUCAUGGUUUCCGGGCUCUGGUUGUAAUGGAAGAUCAUUCCAUCCUGUUAAUUCAACAAGGUGCGGUUGUCUGGAGCAGAGAGGAUGGACUUGCUUCAAUUGUUGAUGUAAUGACUUCUGAAUUGCCUGUUGAGAAGGAUGGUGUCUCAGUUGCGGAUGUGGAACACAAUCUCUUUGAAUGGCUUAAGGGACAUGUGCUGAAACUCAAAGGAACUCUAAUGCUUGCUAGUGUUGAUGAACUUGCUGCAAUCCAAGCAUUGAGAGUCAGAAGCUCUGAGAAAAAUAAGAUGACCAGAGACCAUAAUGGAUUCCGCAAACUUCUUAUUGUAUUGACCAAGGCUGGCAAAGUGAUAGCUCUGCAUACUGGAGAUGGCCGUAUUAUCUGGUCAAAUUUGUUGCCUUCCCUUCGUGCUUCUAAAUUGGGCGAAAUGCCUUCUGCCUUGAGGAUAUACCAAUGGCAGGUACCCCAUCACCGCGUUAUGCGUGAGAACCCGACCAUACUUGUUGUGGGAAGAUCUGGAGCCAGCUCUGUUGCUCCUGGUGUCCUCUGUAUUCUUGAUUCAUAUUCCGGAGAGGAACUCAACUCUCAGAGCUUUGACCAUUCUGUUGCCCAAAUUAUCCCAUUGACACUGAAGGAUUCAUCUGAACAGCGUCUUCAUCUUAUUGUUGAUUCCAACUCCAACGCUCACCUAUAUCCAAGAUCUCCGGAUGCCCUUAAUUCAUUUAUUAAUGAAAUGUCAAAUCAGUAUUUCUAUUCUGUAGAUAUUCAGAAAAAUGCUAUCAGAGGGUAUUCAUUACAGAAAUCAUGCGACUUCAAUUCGGAUGACACAUACUGCUUUAGCACAAAGUUGUUAUGGUCUAUCAUUUUCCCUUCUGAUGCAGAAAGGAUUUCUGUCUCAGAAGCACGAAAGAUGAAUGAGGUUGUUCAUACUCAAGCAAAGAUCAUAGCAGAUCAAGAUGUGAUGUAUAAGUAUUUAUCAAAGAACUUAAUUUUUGUUGCUACGGUGUCUCCUAAAGCUGCUGGUGAAAUUGGAUCCGCGGCACCUGAAGAAGCUUCACUCAUGGCAUAUCUCAUUGAUGCUGUCAGCGGACGCAUACUACACCGUGUGACCCAUCAUGGUGCACAAGGCCCUGUACAUGCCGUUGUCAGCGAGAACUGGGUUGUCUAUCAUUAUUUCAACCUCCGAGCUCACAGAUUUGAAAUUGCAGUGAUUGAGAUAUAUGAUCAAUCUAGGGCGGACAACAAAGAUGUAUUGAAGCUCAUACUUGGGAAGCACAAUUUGUCUGCACCCAUGACUUCUUAUUCCCGACCAGAGGUUAUGGUGAAAUCCCAGUCAUACUUUUUUACUCAUUCGGUGAAGGCAAUGGCAGUUACACAAACAGCCAAGGGUAUCACUUCCAAGCAGCUUCUCAUUGGCACGAUUGGUGAUCAGGUUUUGGCACUUGACAAGCGCUUUCUUGACCCACGCCGUUCAUUGAAUCCUACACAACAAGAGAAAGAAGAGGGUAUUAUACCGUUAACAGAUUCUUUGCCUAUUAUUCCACAGUCCUAUGUGACGCACUCUCUUCAAGUGGAAGCACUGCGAGGAAUUGUUUCUAUUCCGGCAAAGUUGGAGUCCACUACUCUUGUUUUCACUUAUGGUGUGGAUCUCUUCUACACUCGGCUUGCACCAUCAAGAACCUAUGAUUCACUCACGGAUGAAUUCAGUUAUGCUCUUCUUCUAAUUACUAUUGUCGCAUUGGUUGCUGCUCUUUUCGUUACUUGGAUUUGGUCUGAGAAAAAGGAAUUAAGAGACAAGUGGAGUUACCAGCUGCCCUAUCUACCGCACCGUUCGAUGCGCUUAAUCAAGACCAUCAACACAUCGCUCCACAGUAGACGUCACCCUGUGGUCGUCGAUGUUACUGCAACGGAACACCGCCGGUAG